RNAcentral lists this small RNA (1317 nucleotides) under Vigna angularis var. angularis. RNAcentral describes it as "Non-protein coding transcript". Lineage: Eukaryota; Viridiplantae; Streptophyta; Magnoliopsida; Fabales; Fabaceae. The record is from RNAcentral.
CAUUGGCCAGGAAGUAUAACCAUAAUAAGAUGAUCUGCCACAAGUAAAUCGUGGUAUUGGAUCUUAUUUUGAAAUAUUGUUCUUAAUUUCAAAUAUGUUAUUGGGUGAAGUAUAGUCAAAGCACAAAUAAACUUUUUAUAUUGUUUAAGAAAGUCACGUGAAACUCAAUAUUGCAAGCCUAAUUUGUCUGCAAGCAGUGUACUGGUUUCAGAUAUAAAUGUUGAAUGAUGUGCUUGUCUACAUUGGAUGUUUGUAUGAAAAAUGUAUGGCAACAUCAGGUUGCUGUUUUCUCUUAGCUACAUAUAUCUGGAAAUCCCUGUGCAUCAGAGGGCAGCAGUCUUAUCCAUAUGCUAUAUAAGGGAAUAAAAUGAAACCCAAAAGUAACUUGAAGCGACUAGCUAGAUGAGGUUGCAAUUUUGUUGAGAUUUAGGGGUCCGGUUUUUUGUUAGUUUCUACUGAUGAUUGGUGUUUAAGUGAUAGGGGUGGUAUUAUUAGUUUAUGGUUAAAAUUAGUAUGAGUGGGGCAUGUGUUUACAACUCGUGUACUUAUUUUUAUGAUUUGUUAGAGUUUUGAAACUAUAAUCCAAACUUUCAAACUUGAGGUUUCAUCGCAGGGUUUUCUUUAAUACAUGAAUUCUAUAUGUUAUCUGUCGUUGACCAACUAUCCCAAAUGCUGUUAGGUUUUCAAAGGUACAUGGUUGGUGUAACUUCUCAUCUAAUUAGAUUCAUUUUCAAGUUGAAUUGAUCAGUAUGCAUGGAUUUUAAAAUUUUGGCCGAACAUAUUUGAAAAUGUUGUAUGCCAUUAUCUACAGAUCUUUUGGUGAUGUUGAUGGGUCUGAGAUCUCGGGUUGCUCCAUUAAAAGUUGUCUUUGGCGGAGAGCACGUGGAUGUCAUUAUAGGAGCUGUUGUGGCUGAUGGCAAGGUGACCCCCAAGGUGUAGGCACUAAUGAAAUACUUCUCAAGUAUCAGCAUACAGAAGACUUCCAUGCAAUCAUCUUUGUUGAGCGUGUUGUUUCUGCAUUAGUUAUGCUGAAGAUUGAUAGACGACAACAAAGUAGAGAAAGGACUAUAGUUAGGACUUUUUUCAAAUUUCAGGACCAAGUAGACAUUAGGCCUGGAACAGUUUAUCAGGUGGUGCAGUUGUGAGUCUUAAUUUUGUUGUAGGUCUUAUCCACUUCUACUGCUCUCAGCUACCUAGUGACAGGUGCUACAUUUUGGCUUGAGAUUGAUAGUUUUCUUUACCGGCCUUUUAUUAAGCUUCAAAUUAUUAUCUACAAUUUAGAGACUUCAUGGGUAGUGUACUCAUAAACUUGGCUAC